CCCCUUCCCUUCUCUCCCGAUCUCCUUCUUCACCCGACGCCGCUUCUUCCCUCUCGCGACGCCAAGCCACCGCCGCCUUCUUCCUCCCCUUCCUCUCGCCACCGCCGAUUCUCCUUGCACCCGAGCCCUCUUCCUCUGACCUAGCGUUGGUAGCCUGAUCCCUCUCCGACUCCACCGCUCGAUGCCACAAGUGGAUUGUGUCGGCUCCGUUCAACCUAAUGCCGACACUGACCCCUCUGCCCUAAUCUUCCCGGCCGAUCUCACCAGGAAUCGAUUGACGCAUCGACUGUCCACAGGCCUCGCUGAGCAGAGCCCUAGCUGACGAUCCACCAUCGACGAUCUUCUCCUUCCCUUGUCAUAGCCAGAGCAAAUCCAUCCCAGCCCUAGCGUGAGAGAUUUGAUCGAUCAUCCUUCUCAUUGUAGAACCUCUCGGUGCCCUGGUGCUAUCGUCGCUUCCUCUGCCCUGGUUCAUCUUCACAGCAACAAUCAGAUUGCAUCAAUGAGGAAGCUAUGAGUUUGAAUUUGGCUCCAGCCAUCCCUAUUGAGGAUGAUCUACAGAUUGUGCCACUAAUUUCUAGCAACCACUUCAGUUUUGGAAGGCAGUGGCUUCACUUGGUCUCGCCCACCGUCAUCGGUAGUGAGUUGCUCCGACCGUGAGUAGUGCAUUGGAUUUGGGGACUUUGAUUCGAGACAAGCGUCUCGACAUAGGAUUUCUGAUCACGAUAUUCUUUUUGAGAUGAGUACCUUUGACUUAUCUCUUGAUAUGAUCAUUUUUUAUUUUGAUAUGCAUAGUAGUUUAUAGCUAGUAGUAAUGAUUAUGUUUACUUCUACUUUGGUAUGUCACUUCUUAGUUCUUGUAGUCUGCCUAUAUUCCUAUCUGUUAUGCAUUCAUACUUAUAUUCUCUUGUUUGUUGGCAUGUUUACUCCUGUUCAUAGAAAUGGUAUCAUACAUUCCCCUAUUGUGUAGUAGUCUAGUUAUUUGACAUGUCUGACUUGUGUACGUAAUUUAUUGUUACCUAGAUCAUUGUAUGGAGUUAUUUCCUUUUUGGUACAUUUUAUAUCGAGAUGUAUACUGUCAGUAUCUGCAUGUUUAGUGUCAUGCACCAUCUUGCAUAAUUGCAUGCUAAGCAAUUAUCGGGCCCCCACGGGCGGGAUCAACCGGUUAUGACAUGGUAUUCUUGCAACAUGGGUCGGGAGGUCGAAGGUCUGCGGCAGCAAUUGCGAUAACAUCAAUAUCUGUCCGUGCUAAACACCUUCGACCGCCAUGUCAUCGCCGGGCCCGUAUUCACCGUGAUUUACUCCCUCUCAUACUCGUGGGGCAGGGGUGAGGGGGCCGCUGAGCGGCGGGACCCGCCUUUGCAACAUGCUAAGCAAUUAUCGGCUCCAUUAUUGUUGAGUACAUCACCAGUUACAUGAUCUGCACACACAACCACUCAUGGGUUAGUGGUACAUCAGGCAGGGUGUGUGCAGUUUACUCUGUCAGGGCUCCGCUGGUC
Long non-coding RNA from Zingiber officinale, 1496 nucleotides. RefSeq lists it as uncharacterized. The transcript is spliced from 3 exons. The record is from RefSeq and is a predicted model, not a curated record. Lineage: Eukaryota; Viridiplantae; Streptophyta; Magnoliopsida; Zingiberales; Zingiberaceae.